GAAGGUGGCAAGCGUUAUUCGGAUUUACUGGGCGUACAGGGAGCGUAGGCGGUACGGUAAGCCCUUUGUGAAAUCUCCAGGCUUAACCUGGAACAGUCGGAGGGGACUGCUGGGCUAGAGGACGGGAGAGGAGCGCGGAAUUCCCGGUGUAGCGGUGAAAUGCGUAGAGAUCGGGAGGAAGGCCGGUGGCGAAGGCGGCGCUCUGGAACGUUUCUGACGCUGAGGCUCGAAAGCGUGGGGAGCAAACAGGAUUAGAUACCCUGGUAGUCCACGCCUUAAACUAUGAAUACUAAGUGUCGGCGGGUUACCGCCGGUGCCGCAGCUAACGCAUUAAGUAUUCCGCCUGGGAAGUACGGCCGCAAGGUUG
This 367-nucleotide ribosomal RNA is filed under the name uncultured bacterium. RNAcentral describes it as "bacterial SSU rRNA". It matches the Rfam family "Bacterial small subunit ribosomal RNA", at positions 527 to 896 of the family's 1533-position model. The record is from RNAcentral.